CACCGGCAAACAGAAACCACGAUAGCAUAAUGGGAUUUUGUCACAAAUGCAGAAGUCGUCACAGAGAAAGUUCUAAAAGUCUAUGUUACGUGAGUUAUUCUCAAAAAGAAGAGGCCCUGUGAAGAUAUUGGAAGACAGGUGUCUACAAGCCAGGAAGAGAGGCCUUGCCAAAAUCCAACCCUGAUGACAAUUUGAUCUUGGACUUCUGCCCCUGGAACUGUGAGAAAAAUACGUACUUUCUACUGUUUAAGCCACUCAGUCUGAGGUAUUUUGUUUUGACAGCCUGAGCCACACAGCUAAUACAACAGCUAAUAAAUAUUAAGAAAAUGACA
This 332-nucleotide long non-coding RNA is filed under the name Mustela putorius furo (domestic ferret). Its description in RNAcentral is "lncRNA (ENSMPUG00000031614.1)". Lineage: Eukaryota; Metazoa; Chordata; Mammalia; Carnivora; Mustelidae. The record is from RNAcentral.